CAGUCGCCACGGGAACACGUAGGGUGCAAGCGUUAAUCGGAAUUACUGGGCGUAAAGCGUGCGCAGGCGGUUAUAUAAGACAGAUGUGAAAUCCCCGGGCUCAACCUGGGAACUGCAUUUGUGACUGUAUAGCUAGAGUACGGCAGAGGGGGAUGGAAUUCCGCGUGUAGCAGUGAAAUGCGUAGAUAUGCGGAGGAACACCGAUGGCGAAGGCAAUCCCCUGGGCCUGUACUGACGCUCAUGCACGAAAGCGUGGGGAGCAAACAGGAUUAGAUACCCCAGUAGUCCCUGUCUCUUACCC
RNAcentral lists this ribosomal RNA (301 nucleotides) under uncultured bacterium. RNAcentral describes it as "partial 16S ribosomal RNA". It matches the Rfam family "Bacterial small subunit ribosomal RNA", at positions 509 to 809 of the family's 1533-position model. The record is from RNAcentral.